Molecule: ribosomal RNA, 164 nt
Filed under: uncultured bacterium
Lineage: Bacteria
Description: partial 16S ribosomal RNA
Rfam family: Bacterial small subunit ribosomal RNA
Source: RNAcentral
UAGGGAAUCUUCCACAAUGGUCGAAAGCCUGAUGGAGCAACGCCGCGUGUGUGAUGAAGGGUUUCGGCUCGUAAAACACUGUUGUAAGAGAAGAAUGACAUUGAGAGUAACUGUUCAAUGUGUGACGGUAUCUUACCAGAAAGGAACGGCUAAAUACGUUCCAG